RNAcentral lists this long non-coding RNA (3952 nucleotides) under Catharus ustulatus (Swainson's thrush). Its description in RNAcentral is "lncRNA (ENSCUSG00005015343.1)". The record is from RNAcentral. Lineage: Eukaryota; Metazoa; Chordata; Aves; Passeriformes; Turdidae.
GUGGCAGCUCUUCACCCUGCAGCUCUGGCAGGGCUGCUCACAGCAGGCCAAGGAAUUCCUGGCAGUUCUUCUCAGUGGAGAGGCUUUCACCACACACAAGUACUGUGAAAUCCACCCACGUGUUUGGGAGGGUGACAGCACAGAACCACAGAACAUCACUCGAGUGCCCGUGACAGCAACUGGAGCAACAGCAACGGAAGCUCUGGAGGAAGGGGAUGAGAAACUCCCUCCCACCACCUGACUCCUGUGGGAUGCUGCUUGGAUACAGGUUGAGGCAGCCACUGAAGUCAUCGCUGUCUGUGGGCUGCUGAGUUUCUAACUUGAUGUUUUAUGGGGAUCUGUCUAUCAAAAUAUUUGGGAUCUGCUGAUCUGUGGUUUCUGUGCUGGUUUCAGAAGGAUGUGUUGGCCUCACACAAGCCACAGUAAGGCACCAUCAUGCUCAAAUGCUGACUGAAUUAGAUGCUUUUUGAGCCUGGUUGUCAGGGGAAAGCCAUACGUGUGCAACAAGCUGUUGGAAAUAGUUUUGAAGGGGUGUUCCAAGUCUCCAGUGCUCCUACUCUGACUGGGCAACGUAGUGCUUGCCUAAGUAUUGUUUCAGAGGAACAGUCACAAUGGGAAUGUGCAGAUAUGUGAACAAUUGUUGGAUUUGAGACUUGCAAUCAAGGACCCAAAAUUCAUUUUAAAGGAAAAUAAAAUUUUCAAAGGAAUUUUUUCAAAGGAAAUGUUUCAUUGUCUUACCAAAAUUGCACUCCAUUUUGGUGCCUUCCACUAAAUGAGAGGAAGGGCAGGCUCCUGGUUGAGAUGAUGGGACAAGUAGCCCAGGGUCAGUUGCUGGUCCUAGCCCAGAUUUCCAGAACCUAAGUUACUCAAUCCUCCUUUUUAUUACAGUUCACUAUCAGGAGAUAAGGAUAAUAUUACUUUUCUCCACACUUCAUCUAUUUUAUCUAUUAAAUAAUGGGGAGAGACAUAGAGAAGAUUUAAUAUAAAGAUGCCCAAUGUCUUGCACAGUGGAGUACCUCAUCUUGAUUAAGGACUUACACAUUAUUGACGUUUAUAAUCAUUUCAUCAGUCCCAACAUAUUCCUUUCCACAAAGGAAGACUAUCACAGAAAACUGCAGUUAUGGAGCACAGGUAGUCAAAUGCUGAAUCACUACAAAAUAUGCAUGGUGCUCUUCAACCUGCUGCCAAGGAGAGUGAGAAAGCAGGCUCCUAUCCAUGUUUGUGUGUUAUCCUCUCAUGGUGUCUGUCCCACAAACAGCAUCCAAGGCUUGCAAGUGGAACUCCUGUGUAAACCAAAGGUGAGACAGACCCUGGCUCAGCACAGUAGUCCAGGUUACAUUGAUAUCCUUUUGAGGUUAUUUUGCUGAGUAUGGGUGUGAUGAAGACAUUGAGGAUAGGACUAUUCACGGUGACCAUUCUGUUUGCCAGGCACAGCCCCUGUACCCACUGAACACGGAUUUCUUCAAAUUCAGUGGUUAUCUAAAUCUCCUCCUUUUCAUAGAAUCAUAGAAGAGACAGGAUGGGAAAGGACAUUAAAGAUCACCCAGUUUCAAUCCUUUUGCCAUGGGCAGGGACACCUUCCACCAGACCAGGCUGCUCAGAGCCCCAUCCAGCCUGGCCUUGAGCACUCCCAGGGAUGGGGCAGCCACAGCUGCUCUGGGCACUCUGCUGCCUCACCACCCUCACAGGGAAGAAUUUCUUCCUAAUAUCUAAUUUAACCUAUUCUCUUUCAGUUUGAGUCCAUUCCCUCUUGUCCUGUAACUACAUGCCCUUGUAAAUACUCUCUCUCCAAUGUAUGUAUUUUGCAAAAGCAAGUCCUGCCAGGGUCAGCAUUUCUGUUUGUUCAUUUGUAAUUUUUUUUCCCUAAACACACAUGUGACAAUGCAUCAUUCACUUUCUACUCAUUUACCCCAGAAGACCAAGAAAAAUACUGUUAAGUAAAAUGUGGAGCAAUAUUAAUAAGAUUUAAAUUUUAAUUACUGCCCACAGGACAUAGAUACAAGUUAAUACACCUCCUUCCACACUACUGUAGGACAUAUUCUGUUUUCAAAAUAUCCUAAAUGAAGUGUCUUCCUGAAGUCUCUGCUGCUCCCAUAUGUUGCUUUUAAAUAUCAGAUGAGUUUUCCAGUUGGUUUUAACAUCUUAUGCUGUGGCCAGCUGAUGUAAUUUGGCACAGAUCCAUUACACCAUCGGAAAUAUGUCAGUCUAUACCAGCUGAGAUUACAGCACAGUUCUAAUUUUAAAUACACUUAACAUCUUUUUAAUGCUUUCUCGAACAAUGUUAGUAAAACCUGUUUUAUCUCAGUUUCUGUCCUCAGCAAGCACAUGUGCAAAAGUUAACAUCUUGGAAGGGAUGAAAGAGAACAGGACCUGUCCCUGCUCAAAUUUUAAGGCAAAUAUCCCUUACGAAGUCAUGACAGGAGGGACUGACUUUCCAUAAGACCAGUGGAAUAAAAGAACAUAAUUUACCAUUUUAAGUGGUUCUGAAAACAGAGCUAAAUUCAAAGCAUUGAAGAAAAUCUUCUUGGUUUCAGCUCUGUAGCUGCUUAAAUUAUUCACUGUAAAUAUAUGACCAUACAGAUUUAGCACUUUUGCUGUUCUUUGUGGUUUUGUUGACUGAGAUGACCUUGAUUUGCUGACUGUUCAAAGCAUAGUUCUGCCUAUUAAAUAACUUUCAAAUGCUCACCUUGGAUUGCAUAAAGCUAUUACUGACAUGCUCACAUAAUUCUUCCCCUUGAAGUGCCAGGCUGGUUAUACCAACAAGAAGUACACACACACUGUUCUCACGAGCCCAUGUAAAGCCCUGAUGUGGCAGAGCUUUGCACUUGCCUGGAGGUCCCACAAGGGUGGUUCCUUGUGUGGUGUCUGAUCUCCACACCCUCUCAGGAGCUAAUGAUGCCAUGGUAUGGAGCAGUAAACUCCUGUGCUCUCCCCCACCAUGAGUUCAUUUCCCCUGGUGCUGUUGGUACCCUGAGUGAAACCAAGCAUCGUGAGCAGGGCUCUGCAUAGGGACUGCAGGCUGGCCUAAGGAGGGGCUGGAAUGAAGCUUUCCAAAAGGUAUGUCAGCUCCAGGGGUGGGAUUCCAGUACAGCAAAAUCCCCUUUCCCAGCUAAGCUCACCCCAGCACUGGGCAGAGCAGUAUAAACCCACAGUGGGAUAAAUCCUGACAUGCUAUUGAGCUUGGCACUGCAGAGAUUUCCCAUUUCUCUCAGGGGUGCAGGUGAAGCAUAGAUAAAGAUGGGUGUUGUCAAAGUGGAAGGUGACUUACUUGACUAAAUGUAUCUUCUGGAAGUUCAGUGCUUGUGGGAAGACUAGCAUUUAGGCUGACAGCAAUUCUUAUUCCCAGGUUGUGUGGACCCUUCAGGUGUGCCCCAGAAUGGGGUUAUCACAGCUGUGUCCUCCCAGGGUCAGUGCUGAAUCCUUUCCUGAGGGAAAAGUGCCCCUUUUGGAUGCUUUCAGAGUGCUUCAGGAAACUGUGUCUGCCACAACAGCCUCCUUAUGCACUCAGGCAUCACACCUGCUCCCUUCUUCCUUCUCUCACCUUACAAAGCACCUGACACUUUAGGGCUUUCUCUGAAUUCAGAAGGGAAAACAAGAAUUUUCCUUUUUCAAAGCAUUUUUUAAAGUCAGAAACAUUUAAAUGUUUGUCUCAUCCCUAAUAUGUCUAAAAGCCUGUUUAGGAACAUUCAGCUCAAAUCUAGUUUAGUGAUUUAAGUGUGUGAGUGAUACUCACAGACACAUGGUGUGAUUCUUGGGGAUGGUGCUGUGCAGGGCUAAGAGUUGGACUCGAUGAUCCCUGUGGGUCCUUUCCAACUCAGCAUAUUCUGUGAUUCUGUGAUAUCUGAAAUCUGCUCAAGUGUGAUUGGGAAAGCAAGACGGAUGCCAUUUGGGAGAUGGGGAUUUCAACAUGAGGACAUUAUUGUGCUACUUUUACACAGCAACAAAAUAAAGC